UUUAGGCCAAACACAAACGCUUUCUGGGGCAUUCUGCACACCUGACUAAUGUGCGCUUCACUAAUGGAGAUCGCUUCGUCGUUAGUGCUGGUGGAGAUGACCGAAGCCUCUUUGUAUGGAGGUGCGUCCAUGCCCCUCACUGAGGACCACACCUGCCUCGGAAAGUCUGGGCGUCUCCCAGCAUGAGAAACGAUUCUGCUUAAGGACGCAUUUAAACGAGGAGGAGGAGGAGGACAGACCUGGCAGCUUGUAAAUGGAGUGGCGAUCUGACUUACUGCCUCAAAACUAGGUGCAUGCAUAUGUGCAAGGCUCAUUUUCAUCACAGCAUCAGUCUUGAUUGUGAACACAGGCAGAGGGUAUACAGCCCUGCUCUCACGACAUUCACAUCAUCAAUGAAAAAAAUACAUCUCUCUAAUACAG
This is a long non-coding RNA of Micropterus dolomieu (smallmouth bass), 420 nucleotides long. RefSeq lists it as uncharacterized. The transcript has 2 exons. Lineage: Eukaryota; Metazoa; Chordata; Actinopteri; Centrarchiformes; Centrarchidae. The record is from RefSeq and is a predicted model, not a curated record.